AGAGUUUGAUCCUGGCUCAGGAUGAACGCUAGCGGCAGGCAUAAUACAUGCAAGUUGAACGCUGAGGACAGCAGCAAUGUUAUCCUUGGAGUGGCGCACGGGUGCGUAACACGUAUGCAAUCUGCCCCUAACAGGGGAAUAGCCCGGCGAAAGUCGGAUUAAUACCCCAUAACAAUGUGAAUCGGCAUCGGUUUAUAUUUAAAGCACCGGCGGUUAGGGAUGAGCAUGCGCGACAUUAGCUAGAUGGCGGGGUAACAGCCCACCAUGGCUACGAUGUCUAGGGGGUCUGAGAGGAUUUUCCCCCACACUGGUACUGAGACACGGACCAGACUCCUACGGGAGGCAGCAGUAGGGAAUAUUGGGCAAUGGACGCAAGUCUGACCCAGCCAUGCCGCGUGAAGGACGAAGGCCC
RNAcentral lists this ribosomal RNA (412 nucleotides) under uncultured bacterium. RNAcentral describes it as "bacterial SSU rRNA". It matches the Rfam family "Bacterial small subunit ribosomal RNA", at positions 8 to 417 of the family's 1533-position model. The record is from RNAcentral.